Molecule: ribosomal RNA, 578 nt
Filed under: Dendropsophus sp. 2 MF-2020
Lineage: Eukaryota; Metazoa; Chordata; Amphibia; Anura; Hylidae
Description: partial large subunit ribosomal RNA
Rfam family: Bacterial large subunit ribosomal RNA
Source: RNAcentral
CAUCGCCUCUUGAGACUUAUAAGAGGUCCAGCCUGCCCAGUGACUCAGUUCAACGGCCGCGGUAUCCUAACCGUGCGAAGGUAGCGUAAUCACUUGUUCUUUAAAUGAGGACUAGUAUGAAUGGCACCACGAGGGUUAUACUGUCUCCUUUUUCCAAUCAAUGAAACUGAUUUCCCCGUGAAGAAGCGGGGAUAAGCCUAUAAGACGAGAAGACCCUAUGGAGCUUCAAACAACAAUAGCACUGGCCCUCAUUUUUACGUCAAUAGACACAACCAUUAUUCUGGCCAGCAUGACUAUUAGUUUUAGGUUGGGGUGACCGCGGAGCAAAAAUUAACCUCCACAUUGAACGGAGCUUCUCCUGAGCUAAAAAGCAACGAUUUUAAGCACCAAUAAAUUGACAUUAAUUGACCCAACAUGUUGAACAACGAACCAAGUUACCCUAGGGAUAACAGCGCAAUCCAUUUCAAGAGCCCACAUCGACAAAUGGGUUUACGACCUCGAUGUUGGAUCAGGGUAUCCCAGUGGUGCAGCCGCUACUAAAGGUUCGUUUGUUCAACGAUUAAAACCCUACGUGAUCU